GAUGAACGCUGGCGGCGUGCCUAAUACAUGCAAGUCGAGCGAACGGACGAGAAGCUUGCUUCUCUGAUGUUAGCGGCGGACGGGUGAGUAACACGUGGAUAACCUCCCUAUAAGACUGGAGGAACUAGGGGAACCAGUACCUAAUACGGGCUAAUAUUUUAAACCGCAUGUUUUAAAAGUGAACGCGGGCCUUGCUGCCACUGUCAGAUGGAGCCGCGCUGCAUUUGCAAGUUGGUAAGGUAAAGGCUUACCAAGUCAACGAUGCAUAGCCGACCUGAGAGGGUGAUCGGCCACACUGGAACUGGGACACGGUCCAGACUCCUACGGGAGGCAGCAGUAGGGAAUUUUCGGCAAUGGGCGAAAGCCUGACGGAGCAACGCCGCGUGAGUGAUGAAGGUCUUCGGAUCGUAAAACUCUGUUAUUAGGGAAGAACAUAUGUGUAAGAAACUGUGCACAUCUUGACGGUACCUAAUCAGAAAGCAACGGCUAACUACGUG
RNAcentral lists this ribosomal RNA (497 nucleotides) under uncultured bacterium. Its description in RNAcentral is "partial 16S ribosomal RNA". It matches the Rfam family "Bacterial small subunit ribosomal RNA", at positions 28 to 507 of the family's 1533-position model. The record is from RNAcentral.